Molecule: long non-coding RNA, 411 nt
Organism: Malus domestica (apple)
Lineage: Eukaryota; Viridiplantae; Streptophyta; Magnoliopsida; Rosales; Rosaceae
Source: RefSeq, a predicted model, not a curated record
AACUCCACCUCCACCUCUUUGAAUUGCCCUUGCAAUUGAGUGAGUCAAUCCUCCCACUCCAGCAAAAACAGCUCCAGCCUACCUUGGGGCCAUUCAGCGGGCCCAACCCCCCAGACCUAACAAUCGGGCCAUUCUCACGCGCCUGUCCGUUUGAGGUGAGAUUUUGGGUCAGGCACGUGCGGUUCGCAAGAGUUCAAGUUUUUGGGCCAACCAAAAGUAGGUAGCGAGGCCCGCUUGGCAGACGCCCUCACACCCGAUUGAGAGGGGCGACUUGGUUUACGAUGGCAUGACUCAAUUAGGCUAUGAAAAGUCUCACUGCGAGUUUAGCUUUGGGACCGAACAGAGACGUGUAACCCUUUCUAUGGCUGCAAUAUUGCUUCCUUUUCCACUUUGGUGCAAAGACCUAAUAUU